Molecule: ribosomal RNA, 233 nt
Filed under: uncultured bacterium
Lineage: Bacteria
Description: partial 16S ribosomal RNA
Rfam family: Bacterial small subunit ribosomal RNA
Source: RNAcentral
UGAGUAACCUGCCCUUAACUCUGGGAUAAGCCUGGGAAACUGGGUCUAAUACCGGAUACUCUCCUCUGACCACCUGGUCGGAUGAGGAAAGGUCCGCCGGUCGGGGAUGGGCCCGCGGCCUAUCAGCUUGUUGGUGGGGUAACGGCCUACCAAGGCAUCGACGGGUAGCUGGUCUGAGAGGACGACCAGCCACACUGGGACUGAGACACGGCCCAGACUCCUACGGGAGGCAG